UACGAAGGGGGCUAGCGUUGUUCGGAAUGACUGGGCGUAAAGGGCGCGUAGGCGGUUUGUACAGUCAGGUGUGAAAUUCCCGGGCUCAACCUGGGGGCUGCACUUGAUACGUAGGAACUGGAGUGGGGAAGAGGGUCGUGGAAUUCCCAGUGUAGAGGUGAAAUUCGUAGAUAUUGGGAAGAACACCGGUGGCGAAGGCGGCGACCUGGUCCUUGACUGACGCUGAGGCGCGAAAGCGUGGGGAGCAAACAGG
This 253-nucleotide ribosomal RNA is filed under the name uncultured bacterium. RNAcentral describes it as "partial 16S ribosomal RNA". It matches the Rfam family "Bacterial small subunit ribosomal RNA", at positions 524 to 776 of the family's 1533-position model. The record is from RNAcentral.